CUCGACUCCCCUGGCCUCCGCGCGCAGUUCACCGUCCCGGAUCUCCGCCCCGGCACGCUCGACUCCCUGCUCGCCCUCAGCGACAACCUCGUCAAGUCCAACAUCUUCAUCGAGGGUGUCUCGCACAAGAUCCGCCGGCAGAUCGAGGACCUGGAGCGUGCCGGAGGGGUCGAGCCCGGCACCCUCACCGUCGACGGCGUCCCCGUGGACAGCUAUCUCACCAGGUUCGUGUGGGGCGAGGGAAAGUACCCCGUCAACGCCCCGCUCAAGGAGACCGUCACCAGCAUCCAGUCCCAGGUCGCCAAGAUCGAGGACCUGUCUAUUAUGGACAUUUUGUUUCAC
Molecule: ribosomal RNA, 342 nt
Filed under: Triticum aestivum (bread wheat)
Lineage: Eukaryota; Viridiplantae; Streptophyta; Magnoliopsida; Poales; Poaceae
Description: partial small subunit ribosomal RNA
Source: RNAcentral